This 453-nucleotide long non-coding RNA is filed under the name Mytilus galloprovincialis (Mediterranean mussel). Lineage: Eukaryota; Metazoa; Mollusca; Bivalvia; Mytilida; Mytilidae. The record is from RNAcentral.
UUUUUUCUCUUUCUUAUACAGUCGAGAGCUUAUUUCAGACAAAACCGUCAAUUCUUUUUUAAUCGCCUUUAUCUUAACACAGAUGUAAUACCCAUACAUCUAUGAUCUUUUAUAAGUGCUUUUUCAUUGUUUGCAUCUUUUGUAUAAACCAGGUAUUGAAUUGACAUGUUUGCAUUUUAAAACAUUCUUUUAGUUGAUAAAGUCUAAAAAUCUCUUGUAUUACAAGUGAGAAAAUCGUCUGAUAGUAUACAUAUUUUCUUUUACGAUCUAAAGUGUAUGGUAAAUUGGUAUGACAAACUCGAAUCAGUGUGCACAAUGUUUCAUCCCAAAUGAACAGAAAACAAUAGCAUAACCUCUUCGACUGACUGUAGAUCCUAAAUGAACAAUGAAAUGUCUAAAUGUUAAUGUUUUCGGUCCUCGGUAUUCAAAAAUAAAUUUUCAUUUAAACUAUAC